Molecule: transfer RNA, 73 nt
Filed under: Candidatus Gullanella endobia
Lineage: Bacteria; Pseudomonadati; Pseudomonadota; Gammaproteobacteria; Enterobacterales; Enterobacteriaceae
Rfam family: tRNA
About the family: Transfer RNA (tRNA) molecules are approximately 80 nucleotides in length. Their secondary structure includes four short double-helical elements and three loops (D, anti-codon, and T loops).
Source: Rfam by way of RNAcentral
GCCGGCAUAGCUCAGUUGGUAGAGCAAUUGAUUUGUAAUCAGUAGGUCGAGGGUUCAAUUCCUUCUGUCGGCA